UACAGAGGUCUCAAGCGUUGUUCGGAAUUACUGGGCGUAAAGGGCGCGUAGGCGGCUUGGCAAGUUGGAUGUGAAAGCCCAGGGCUCAACCCUGGAAUUGCAUUCAAGACUGUCUUGCUUGAAUUCGGUAGAGGUUGGUGGAAUUCCCAGUGUAGAGGUGAAAUUCGUAGAGAUUGGGAAGAACACCCGUGGCGAAGGCGGCCAACUGGACCGACAUUGACGCUGAGGCGCGAAAGCGUGGGGAUCAAACAGG
RNAcentral lists this ribosomal RNA (253 nucleotides) under uncultured bacterium. Its description in RNAcentral is "partial 16S ribosomal RNA". It matches the Rfam family "Bacterial small subunit ribosomal RNA", at positions 524 to 776 of the family's 1533-position model. The record is from RNAcentral.